Molecule: ribosomal RNA, 510 nt
Filed under: uncultured bacterium
Lineage: Bacteria
Description: bacterial SSU rRNA
Rfam family: Bacterial small subunit ribosomal RNA
Source: RNAcentral
GAUGAACGCUAGCGGGAGGCUUAAUACAUGCAAGUCGAGCGGUAACUAUGAGUAGCAAUACGAGUAGCUAGAGCGGCGCACGGGUGAGUAACGCGUACAUGACCUGCCCUUUACUGGGGGAUAGCCUCGGGAAACUGAGAUUAAUACCCCAUGGUAUUAUUAUGCUGCAUGGUGUGAUAAUUAAAGCUGAGGCGGUAAAGGAUGGGUGUGCGUCUGAUUAGCUAGUUGGAAAGGUAACGGCUUACCAAGGCGAUGAUCAGUAGGGGGCGUGAGAGCGUGAACCCCCCACACGGGGUACUGAGACACGGACCCGACUCCUACGGGAGGCAGCAGUAAGGAAUAUUGGUCAAUGGAGGAAACUCUGAACCAGCCAUCCCGCGUGAAGGAUGAAGGGGCUCUGCCUUGUAAACUUCUUUUGAAUGGGACGAAAAAGGGGAUUUAUCCUCGACUGACGGUACCAUUAGAAUAAGCACCGGCUAACUCCGUGCCAGCAGCCGCGGUAAAGUAUCG